GGAUUGUGGCUCAGUGGUAGAGCACUCGCCGGGCAUGUGCGAGGCCCUGGGUUUGAUCCUCAGCACCA
Molecule: transfer RNA, 68 nt
Filed under: Marmota monax (woodchuck)
Lineage: Eukaryota; Metazoa; Chordata; Mammalia; Rodentia; Sciuridae
Description: tRNA.Ala
Source: RNAcentral